GACGAACGCUGGCGGCGUGCUUAACACAUGCAAGUCGAACGAUGAACCCGGAGCUUGCUCUGGGGGAUUAGUGGCGAACGGGUGAGUAACACGUGAGUAACCUGCCCUGGACUCUGGGAUAAGCGUUGGAAACGACGUCUAAUACCGGAUAGGACCUUGGAUCGCAUGAUCUGGGGUGGAAAGUUUUUUCGGUCUGGGAUGGACUCGCGGCCUAUCAGCUUGUUGGUGAGGUAAUGGCUCACCAAGGCGUCGACGGGUAGCCGGCCUGAGAGGGUGACCGGCCACACUGGGACUGAGACACGGCCCAGACUCCUACGGGAGGCAGCAGUGGGGAAUAUUGCACAAUGGGCGAAAGCCUGAUGCAGCAACGCCGCGUGCGGGAUGACGGCCGUCGGGUUGUAAACCGCUUUUAGUAGGGAAGAAGGGCUUCGGCUUGACGGUACCUGCAGAAAAAGAACCGGCUAACUACGUG
Molecule: ribosomal RNA, 472 nt
Filed under: uncultured bacterium
Lineage: Bacteria
Description: partial 16S ribosomal RNA
Rfam family: Bacterial small subunit ribosomal RNA
Source: RNAcentral